GUACACGCUGUGACUAGCAUAUCAAUAAGCGGAGGAAAAGAAACUAACAAGGAUUCCCCUAGUAACGGCGAGGUGAAGCGGGAAGAGCUCAAAUUUGAAAUCUUAAAGGGUUUCCCUUUACGAAUUGUAGUUUAAAGAAGUGUUUUCUGUUGAGGUUUUGGUAAAAGUUCUUUGGAAUAGGACAUCAUAGAGGGUGAGAAUCCCGUAUUUGACCUUUACUUUCAACUUUGUGAUACACUUUCAAAGAGUCGGAUUGUUUGGGAAUGCAGUCCAAAAUGGGUGGUAAAUUUCAUCUAAAGCUAAAUAUUGGCGAGAGACCGAUAGCGAACAAGUACCGUGAGGGAAAGAUGAAAAGAACUUUGAAAAGAGAGUUAAACAGUACGUGAAAUUGUCAAAAGGGAAGUGUUUGACACCAGUGUUGUUUUUCUGAAAAUCAAUUAAAGAACUGUUUAUGCUAAGUUGUUUAGACUUUAUCAGCUAACUGUUUAGUUUUGAGCUUUUCUUUAAUGCACUUUUCAGUUAACAAGUACAACAUCAAUUUCUUUUGCUGUAAAAAAGCUUGAGGAAGGUGGCUUGAGAUUCGUCUUAAGUGUUUAUAGCCUCUUGCCUAUGCAGUCGGAGAGAUUGAGGUCUGCAGCGUAGAUCCUUCGGGGCUAAAUGCAUUUGUGCUAAGUUAUAGCAUUUAUAGACAACUUGUUGACUAUGAUUUGUCUUGUAGCUUACUCGCUUAUGUUAUUUUACCUACGCUUAGGAUGUUGACAGCAGUAUAGACUGUA
RNAcentral lists this ribosomal RNA (776 nucleotides) under uncultured Neocallimastigales. RNAcentral describes it as "partial large subunit ribosomal RNA". It matches the Rfam family "Eukaryotic large subunit ribosomal RNA", at positions 22 to 630 of the family's 3401-position model. The record is from RNAcentral. Lineage: Eukaryota; Fungi; Neocallimastigomycota; Neocallimastigomycetes; Neocallimastigales.